RNAcentral lists this long non-coding RNA (371 nucleotides) under Ursus maritimus (polar bear). RNAcentral describes it as "lncRNA (ENSUMAG00000004479.1)". Lineage: Eukaryota; Metazoa; Chordata; Mammalia; Carnivora; Ursidae. The record is from RNAcentral.
AUUCGCUGCCGCUGCGACGGAUGACAGAUUUCUGCAGGGCUGGUGCAAAGAGUGGUGAAAGGGAGCGUGGGUGAGGCUGCGCCGGUGGUACUCCCCCUCGCCGGGCUUAGGGAGCAGGUGGAGCAGCUACCUUCUAGUGGGACUCCAAGAAACCAAUCUGUCUGUCUCUCCCGAUGGGGAAUGUCCUUGAUGCCUUGAAUUCUGCUGGGAAGCCCUCUCUGCAGAUUGGACUCCGGGGGUGCUUGUCACUUGCUGCUCCGUGGAGUUCUUCCCAGUAGCCACCUUAGCCUCUUCCCUGACUUCUAAGAUACCAGGAUCCAAAGUAAUGGCAGUGAGCCUGGCCAAAGCCACGGAGGUGCUGUGGGCAGGUG